AUUGAACGCUGGCGGCAUGCUUUACACAUGCAAGUCGAACGGUAACAGGUUAAGCUGACGAGUGGCGAACGGGUGAGUAAUGCAUCGGAACGUGCCCGAUCGUGGGGGAUAACGCAGCGAAAGCUGCGCUAAUACCGCAUACGAUCUGAGGAUGAAAGCGGGGGACCGUAAGGCCUCGCGCGAUCGGAGCGGCCGAUGUCAGAUUAGGUAGUUGGUGGGGUAAAGGCCCACCAAGCCGACGAUCUGUAGCUGGUCUGAGAGGACGACCAGCCACACUGGGACUGAGACACGGCCCAGACGCCGACGGGAGGCAGCAGUGGGGAAUUUUGGACAAUGGGCGAAAGCCUGAUUCAGCCAUUCCGCGUGAGUGAAGAAGGCCUUCGGGUUGUAAAGCUCUUUCGCAAGGGAAGAAAACUUAAGCUCUAACAUAGCUUGAGGUUGACGGUACCUUGAUAAGAAGCACCGGCUAACUACGUGCCAGCCGCCGCAGUAA
This 493-nucleotide ribosomal RNA is filed under the name uncultured bacterium. RNAcentral describes it as "partial 16S ribosomal RNA". It matches the Rfam family "Bacterial small subunit ribosomal RNA", at positions 30 to 523 of the family's 1533-position model. The record is from RNAcentral.